GACGUAGGGCGCGAGCGUUUGUCCGGAUUUAUUGGGCGUAAAGAGCUCGUAGGCGGCUUGUCGCGUCGAAUGUGAAAUCUCAGGGCUCAACUCUGACAUUGCAUUCGAUACGGGCAGGCUAGAGUUCGGUAGGGGAGACUGGAAUUCCUGGUGUAGCGGUGAAAUGCGCAGAUAUCAGGAGGAACACCGGUGCGAAGGCGGGUCUCUGGGGCCGAUACUGACGUGAGGAGCGAAAAGC
Molecule: ribosomal RNA, 238 nt
Filed under: uncultured bacterium
Lineage: Bacteria
Description: partial 16S ribosomal RNA
Rfam family: Bacterial small subunit ribosomal RNA
Source: RNAcentral